This 158-nucleotide unclassified non-coding RNA is filed under the name soil metagenome. RNAcentral's name for it is "partial internal transcribed spacer 1". The record is from RNAcentral.
CAGAGUUUACAAACUCCCAAACCAUCGCUGAACAUUACCACAUAGUUGCUUCGGCGGAUCAGCCCGCUCCCGGUCACACCGGGACGGCCCGCCAGAGUGACCCUAUACAACUCUGUAUUAUACCAUGUAACAUCUGAGUAACUAUACUUAAUAAGUAA